UCAGCGNCCAUGUGAUANUNCUAGUGCUACAAUGGACAGUAACAAAGGGCAGCGAAACCGCGAGGUUAAGCCAAUCCCACAAAUCUGUUCUCAGUUCGGAUCGCAGUCUGCAACUCGACUGCGUGAAGCUGGAAUCGCUAGUAAUCGCGGAUCAGCAUGCCGCGGUGAAUACGUUCCCGGGCCUUGUACACACCGCCCGUCACACCACGAGAGUUUGUAACACCCGAAGUCGGUGAGGUAACCUUUAUGGAGCCAGCCGCCGAAGGUGGGACAGAUGAUUGGGGUGAAGUCGUAACAAGGUA
This 302-nucleotide ribosomal RNA is filed under the name Bacillus subtilis. RNAcentral's name for it is "bacterial SSU rRNA". It matches the Rfam family "Bacterial small subunit ribosomal RNA", at positions 1193 to 1498 of the family's 1533-position model. Lineage: Bacteria; Bacillati; Bacillota; Bacilli; Caryophanales; Bacillaceae. The record is from RNAcentral.